RNAcentral lists this ribosomal RNA (440 nucleotides) under uncultured bacterium. Its description in RNAcentral is "partial 16S ribosomal RNA". It matches the Rfam family "Bacterial small subunit ribosomal RNA", at positions 338 to 795 of the family's 1533-position model. The record is from RNAcentral.
CCUACGGGUGGCAGCAGUAGGGAAUAUUGCUCAAUGGGCGAAACCCUGAAGCAGCAACGCCGCGUGGAGGAUGAAGGUUUUCGGAUUGUAAACUCCUUUUUUUAGAGAAGAUAAUUACGGUAUCUAACGAAUAAUCACCGGCUAACUCCGUGCCAGCAGCCGCGGUAAUACGGAGGGUGCAAGCGUUACUCGGAGUCACUGGGCGUAAAGGGAGCGUAGACGGGUUAGCAAGUCAGAUGUGAAAGCCUAUGGCUUAACCAUAGAAUUGCAUUUGAAACUGUUAUUCUAGAGUAUGGGAGAGGUAGGCGGAAUUCGUGGUGUAGCGGUAAAAUCCGUAGAGAUCAAGAAGAAUACUCAUUGCGAAGGCAGCCUGCUAGACCGUAACUGACGCUGAUGCGCGAAAGCGUGGGUAUCAAACAGGAUUAGAUACCCGAGUAGUC